RNAcentral lists this ribosomal RNA (449 nucleotides) under uncultured bacterium. RNAcentral's name for it is "bacterial SSU rRNA". It matches the Rfam family "Bacterial small subunit ribosomal RNA", at positions 355 to 825 of the family's 1533-position model. The record is from RNAcentral.
CGAGGAAUUUUCCGCAAUGGGCGAAAGCCUGACGGAGCAACGCCGCGUGGGGGAAGAAGGCCUUCGGGUUGUAAACCCCUGUUGCGAGGGAAGAAGAUCUGACGGUACCUCGCGAGGAAGCCACGGCUAACUACGUGCCAGCAGCCGCGGUAAUACGUAGGUGGCAAGCGUUGUCCGGAUUUACUGGGCGUAAAGCGCGCGCAGGCGGACUGGUCAGUCCGGGGUGAAAUCUCACGGCUCAACCGUGAGGGGUCCCUGGAUACUGCCAGCCUUGAGGGGCUCAGAGGAGAGUGGAAUUCCGGGUGUAGUGGUGGAAUGCGUAGAUAUCAAGAGGAACACCUGAGGUGAAGACGGGUUGCUGGGCUGACACUGACGCUGAGGCGCGAAAGCCAGGGGAGCAAACGGGAUUAGAUACCCGAGUAGUCCCUGAGCGGGCUGGCAAGGCGCAU